UACGAAGGGUGCAAGCGUUACUCGGAAUUACUGGGCGUAAAGCGUGCGUAGGUGGUUUGUUAAGUCUGUUGUGAAAGCCCCGGGCUCAACCUGGGAAUGGCAAUGGAUACUGGCAAGCUAGAGUGCGGUAGAGGGUAGUGGAAUUCCCGGUGUAGCGGUGAAAUGCGUAGAGAUCGGGAGGAACACCAGUGGCGAAGGCGGCUACCUGGGCCAGCACUGACACUGAGGCACGAAAGCGUGGGGAGCAAACAGG
Molecule: ribosomal RNA, 253 nt
Filed under: uncultured bacterium
Lineage: Bacteria
Description: partial 16S ribosomal RNA
Rfam family: Bacterial small subunit ribosomal RNA
Source: RNAcentral